UUUGUGCAUUUUUCUUUCCCAAAUUAGGUUGUCAUUGUGUUAUUCAUGUUUUUUUUGUAGUUUUAGAAAUCAUGCUUUGGGGGAUAGGUACUUCUCAAAUACAACUUUUUUAGGAAUGUUUAAGUUGUCCUUAACAAUUAUGUGCAUCAAUAGUUUAUAUAAUGGUAGUUCAUUAAUUUCACGUGUUAAAGGACUGCUUGUUUGGUUACUGGUUAUGUAAAUUCCCAAUCUUGGUAACAAUUAUUUGAGUCAUUCGAGUAGCUUAGUAAGUUAUAUUCAUUGGAAAUGACUAUUUUUAGAAGUCUAACUAUUAUAUAGUUUCAAUUUUGGUAUGGUACAUGCAAUAGUUUAUAUAAUGAUCCUUGGCUUGCUCGUCAUGGUUUUCUUGUUAGUUUGCUCAUCAAAACUUUAAUCUUUAGCGGUUGAUUUAAUCCUUUCUAGGAGACCUUUUUGUUGGAGAAUAUAUGGAAAUUAUGUAAUGCAGUUUUAUGUUUGCAUGGAUUUAGAUUCUUAGAUUCUUUCAUAGAAUAUUGAUCUCUUUGUUUGGGUUUUACUACUGCAACCAAGUCUCUCUCUGCUUCAAGGUAUAUCUCUUUUCAUUCUUCUUCACUCACAAUAGUAUAUAUAUAUUGGGAGUGAAUGGGCCAAUUGAUAUUUGCUGACUAAAAUUUCAUCAACCCUUAAAUAUUCCCUUAAAUUUUCAGCUUUAGGUAAUGCAGUUACCCUCAAGAAGCUCAUCAGGAAGGGGAUUCCACCGGUUUUACGGCCUAAGGAAGGUUUGUCACCCUUAAACUUUUAUAUUGAGGAUGAAUUCCAUUGUGCCACUGGUGGUGGAGCUGGAGGUGCCAAAUCCAUUACCAAUUUUGCCCCAGUAUAAACAUUAUUUUUCCAUUUGACUGUAAAACAGUUGAUUAAUUUCUCCGACAUCUGAAAAUUUCCUUGAAAUUUUUCCCUCAUAAGCUUGUCUUAACAAAUAAACCGUCAUACAUUGUGUGAUAGAACACAAGUAAUGCUUAUGUUGGAGCUAGCGAUUUCAUAUUAUCAUAAUGUUGAAUGAACAAAAAAAAAAUGCCACAAGAUUAUGGCAUUCUAUUUUGUUGGCAAUUUCCCUGCCCAUUGACACACGUUUUAAAAGGUUAGUCUGAGGUAGUCUAGUUUGUAACUCCCAUUAAUCUGGCUGAUUUUUGUUUGUGCAAUUGAUAAUUUUGGAUCAAAUGAAACGUUUGUAGGGUAAGUAGGAUAAGACAGUUAAGGGAAUGUGAAUUUUACGAAUGUGAGUGUUAAAAUGAGGGGAAAAUGAAACAUUGGUUCUUUUUACUUGCUUUUUUACAUACUAACACUUUUUUAGAGUAAAUUAUGUUAAUUAAUUUGUUUUUCCAUUGAGGUUCUUGGACAGAUGGAGGCACAUGAUUAUUGAUAGAGUGAGGUUGUGGCCUGUGAGGUUGAUUUCUGCUAUAAAUAUAUUUUUUUCAGUUAUAUAGUUAUUGGGUGUAUUGAAGUGUAAUGCUUUGUUGUAUCAUUGUGUUUAUUUGCCAUAUAAAUUUCUUUUGCUCUGUUUCAUUCUCAAUUGUUUGUUCUUUUGUUUUUCUUUGUUUUUCUUUUCCUCGUUUGAAAUUUAGAUAAUUGUUUACUGAAGCCUUCUUCUAAUCAUUGUAUCACAGGAAUGUUAUUGGGGCUUUUGGAUUCGAAAACAGUUUGUUACUCAUUAAGUGGAGUUCUUACCAGCUGCAGAAAAAGUAGCUCAUUUCAAAUGAGUCUUUGAUUUGGGUUAUUUUUCCCUUUGAUUCAAGCAGACCCACUCGAUGCUAAUUUUUCUUCUUCCACAUUUUUCUUAUACAAGACAAAUCUGGUUUUUUGUUUUGGUAAUAAUGAAUGGUUUAUAUCUGAGUAUUGGAUGUUUCUUUUAUACAGUUGAAAUAAUUGGUUUGCAUUAUCGGCUAUGGUGA
Camellia sinensis is the source of this 1946-nucleotide non-coding RNA. Lineage: Eukaryota; Viridiplantae; Streptophyta; Magnoliopsida; Ericales; Theaceae. The record is from RefSeq and is a predicted model, not a curated record.